AUUGAACGCUGGCGGCAGGCCUAACACAUGCAAGUCGAGCGGAUGAAGGGAGCUUGCUCCUGGAUUCAGCGGCGGACGGGUGAGUAAUGCCUAGGAAUCUGCCUGGUAGUGGGGGAUAACGUCCGGAAACGGGCGCUAAUACCGCAUACGUCCUGAGGGAGAAAGUGGGGGAUCUUCGGACCUCACGCUAUCAGAUGAGCCUAGGUCGGAUUAGCUAGUUGGUGGGGUAAAGGCCUACCAAGGCGACGAUCCGUAACUGGUCUGAGAGGAUGAUCAGUCACACUGGAACUGAGACACGGUCCAUGCUCCUGCGGGAGGCAGCAGUGGGGAAUGUUGGACAAUGGGCGAAAGCCUGAUCCAGCCGUGCCGCGUGUGUGAAGACGGUCUUCGGAUUGUAAAGCACUUUAAGUUGGGAGGAAGGGCAGUAAGUUAAUACCUUGCUGUUUUGACGUUACCAACAGAAUAAGCACCGGCUAACUUCGUG
Molecule: ribosomal RNA, 484 nt
Filed under: uncultured bacterium
Lineage: Bacteria
Description: partial 16S ribosomal RNA
Rfam family: Bacterial small subunit ribosomal RNA
Source: RNAcentral